RNAcentral lists this ribosomal RNA (1425 nucleotides) under Enterobacter sp. YC-8. Its description in RNAcentral is "16S ribosomal RNA". It matches the Rfam family "Bacterial small subunit ribosomal RNA". The record is from RNAcentral. Lineage: Bacteria; Pseudomonadati; Pseudomonadota; Gammaproteobacteria; Enterobacterales; Enterobacteriaceae.
CAGGUCUGACACAUGCAAGUCGAGCGCCAGCUAAUCCCGAUUUCCCGAGGGUGACGAGCGGCGGACGGGUGAGUAAUGUCUGGGAAACUGCCUGAUGGAGGGGGAUAACUACUGGAAACGGUAGCUAAUACCGCAUAACGUCGCAAGACCAAAGAGGGGGACCUUCGGGCCUCUUGCCAUCAGAUGUGCCCAGAUGGGAUUAGCUAGUAGGUGGGGUAACGGCUCACCUAGGCGACGAUCCCUAGCUGGUCUGAGAGGAUGACCAGCCACACUGGAACUGAGACACGGUCCAGACUCCUACGGGAGGGAGCAGUGGGGAAUAUUGCACAAUGGGCGCAAGCCUGAUGCAGCCAUGCCGCGUGUAUGAAGAAGGCCUUCGGGUUGUAAAGUACUUUCAGCGGGGAGGAAGGGGGUGAGGUUAAUAACCUCAUCGAUUGACGUUACCCGCAGAAAAAGCACCGGCUAACUCCGUGCCAGCAGCCGCGGUAAUACGGAGGGUGCAAGCGUUAAUCGGAAUUACUGGGCGUAAAGCGCACGCAGGCGGUCUGUCAAGUCGGAUGUGAAAUCCCCGGGCUCAACCUGGGAACUGCAUUCGAAACUGGCAGGCUAGAGUCUUGUAGAGGGGGGUAGAAUUCCAGGUGUAGCGGUGAAAUGCGUAGAGAUCUGGAGGAAUACCGGUGGCGAAGGCGGCCCCCUGGACAAAGACUGACGCUCAGGUGCGAAAGCGUGGGGAGCAAACAGGAUUAGAUACCCUGGUAGUCCACGCCGUAAACGAUGUCGACUUGGAGGUUGUGCCCUUGAGGCGUGGCUUCCGGAGCUAACGCGUUAAGUCGACCGCCUGGGGAGUACGGCCGCAAGGUUAAAACUCAAAUGAAUUGACGGGGGCCCGCACAAGCGGUGGAGCAUGUGGUUUAAUUCGAUGCAACGCGAAGAACCUUACCUACUCUUGACAUCCAGAGAACUUUCCAGAGAUGGAUUGGUGCCUUCGGGAACUCUGAGACAGGUGCUGCAUGGCUGUCGUCAGCUCGUGUUGUGAAAUGUUGGGUUAAGUCCCGCAACGAGCGCAACCCUUAUCCUUUGUUGCCAGCGGUUCGGCCGGGAACUCAAAGGAGACUGCCAGUGAUAAACUGGAGGAAGGUGGGGAUGACGUCAAGUCAUCAUGGCCCUUACGAGUAGGGCUACACACGUGCUACAAUGGCGCAUACAAAGAGAAGCGACCUCGCGAGAGCAAGCGGACCUCAUAAAGUGCGUCGUAGUCCGGAUUGGAGUCUGCAACUCGACUCCAUGAAGUCGGAAUCGCUAGUAAUCGUAGAUCAGAAUGCUACGGUGAAUACGUUCCCGGGCCUUGUACACACCGCCCGUCACACCAUGGGAGUGGGUUGCAAAAGAAGUAGGUAGCUUAACCUUCUGGAGGGCGCUUACCAC